CAAAAUGGAUAAAAGGAAAUGUAUCUAGACGUAUUUUAGUUUUAGAUACAUCUCUUUUUAUCCAUUUUGAUGACAAGUAUUUUCGGACGGAGGGAGUAGAAA
This is a non-coding RNA of Triticum aestivum (bread wheat), 102 nucleotides long. Lineage: Eukaryota; Viridiplantae; Streptophyta; Magnoliopsida; Poales; Poaceae. The record is from Rfam.